This 471-nucleotide ribosomal RNA is filed under the name uncultured bacterium. RNAcentral's name for it is "SSU rRNA". It matches the Rfam family "Bacterial small subunit ribosomal RNA", at positions 26 to 521 of the family's 1533-position model. The record is from RNAcentral.
AGGACGAACGCUGGCGGCGUGCCUAACACAUGCAAGUCGAACGGAGCCCGCAAGGGUUCAGUGGCGAACGGGUGCGCAACACGUGAGGAACUUGUCCAUCGGCGGGGGAUAGCCGGCCCAACGGCCGGGUAAUACCGCGUACGCCGUCCGGAGCGCAUGCUCUGGCCGGGAAAGCAGCAAUGCACCGAUGGAGAGCCUCGCGGCCUAUCAGCUAGUUGGUGGGGUAAUGGCCUACCAAGGCGACGACGGGUAGCUGGUCUGAGAGGAUGACCAGCCACAUUGGGACUGAGACACGGCCCAGACUCCUACGGGAGGCAGCAGUGGGGAAUAUUGCGCAAUGGGCGAAAGCCUGACGCAGCGACGCCGCGUGUGGGAUGACGGCCUUCGGGUUGUAACCACUGUCGCGAGGGACGAAGAUCUGACGGUACCUCGAAAGGAAGCACCGGCUAACUCUGCGCCAGCAGCCGCGGU